UAGGGAAUCUUCGGCAAUGGACGGAAGUCUGACCGAGCAACGCCGCGUGAGUGAAGAAGGUUUUCGGAUCGUAAAGCCCUGUUGUAAGAGAAGAACGAGUGUGAGAGUGGAAAGUUCACACUGUGACGGUAUCUUACCAGAAAGGGACGGCUAACUACGUGCCAGCAGCCGCGGUAAUACGUAGGUCCCGAGCGUUGUCCGGAUUUAUUGGGCGUAAAGCGAGCGCAGGCGGUUAGAUAAGUCUGAAGUUAAAGGCUGUGGCUUAACCAUAGUACGCUUUGGAAACUGUUUAACUUGAGUGCAAGAGGGGAGAGUGGAAUUCCAUGUGUAGCGGUGAAAUGCGUAGAUAUAUGGAGGAACACCGGUGGCGAAAGCGGCUCUCUGGCUUGUAACUGACGCUGAGGCUCGAAAGCGUGGGGAGCAAACAGGAUUAGAUACCCUGGUAGUCCACGCCGUAAACGAUGAGUGCUAGGUGUUAGACCCUUUCCGGGGUUUAGUGCCGCAGCUAACGCAUUAAGCACUCCGCCUGGGGAGUACGACCGCAAGGUUG
This 550-nucleotide ribosomal RNA is filed under the name uncultured bacterium. Its description in RNAcentral is "bacterial SSU rRNA". It matches the Rfam family "Bacterial small subunit ribosomal RNA", at positions 355 to 896 of the family's 1533-position model. The record is from RNAcentral.